GAGCCGGAGGGAAACCGAGUCUUAAUUGGGCGUUAAGUUGCAGGGUAUAGACCCGAAACCCGGUGAUCUAGCCAUGGGCAGGUUGAAGGUUGGGUAACACUAACUGGAGGACCGAACCGACUAAUGUUGAAAAAUUAGCGGAUGACCUGUGGCUGGGGGUGAAAGGCCAAUCAAACCGGGAGAUAGCUGGUUCUCCCCGAAAGCUAUUUAGGUAGCGCCUCGUGAAUUCAUCUCCGGGGGUAGAGCACUGUUUCGGCUAGGGGGCCAUCCCGGCUUACCAACCCGAUGCAAACUGCGAAUACCGGAGAAUGUUAUCACGGGAGACACACGGCGGGUGCUAACGUCCGUCGUGAAGAGGGAAACAACCCAGACCGCCAGCUAAGGUCCCAAAGUCAUGGUUAAGUGGGAAACGAUGUGGGAAGGCCCAGACAGCCAGGAUGUUGGCUUAGAAGCAGCCAUCAUUUAAAGAAAGCGUAAUAGCUCACUGGUCGAGUCGGCCUGCGCGGAAGAUGUAACGGGGCUAAACCAUGCACCGAAGCUGCGGCAGCGACACUGUGUGUUGUUGGGUAGGGGAGCGUUCUGUAAGCCUGUGAAGGUGUGUCGUGAGGCAUGCUGGAGGUAUCAGAAGUGCGAAUGCUGACAUAAGUAACGAUAAAGCGGGUGAAAAGCCCGCUCGCCGGAAGACCAAGGGUUCCUGUCCAACGUUAAUCGGGGCAGGGUGAGUCGACCCCUAAGGCGAGGCCGAAAGGCGUAGUCGAUGGGAAACGGGUUAAUAUUCCCGUACUUGGUGUUACUGCGAAGGGGGGACGGAGAAGGCUAUGUUGGCCGGGCGACGGUUGUCCCGGUUUAAGCGUGUAGGUGUGUGUUCCAGGUAAAUCCGGUUCACUUUAACACUGAGGCGUGACGACGAGGCACUACGGUGCUGAAGCAACAAAUGCCCUGCUUCCAGGAAAAGCCUCUAAGCAUCAGGUAACAUCAAAUCGUACCCCAAACCGACACAGGUGGUCAGGUAGAGAAUACCAAGGCGCUUGAGAGAACUCGGGUGAAGGAACUAGGCAAAAUGGUGCCGUAACUUCGGGAGAAGGCACGCUGACACGUAGGUGAAGUGAUUUACUCAUGGAGCUGAAGUCAGUCGAAGAUACCAGCUGGCUGCAACUGUUUAUUAAAAACACAGCACUGUGCAAACACGAAAGUGGACGUAUACGGUGUGACGCCUGCCCGGUGCCGGAAGGUUAAUUGAUGGGGUCAGCGCAAGCGAAGCUCCUGAUCGAAGCCCCGGUAAACGGCGGCCGUAACUAUAACGGUCCUAAGGUAGCGAAAUUCCUUGUCGGGUAAGUUCCGACCUGCACGAAUGGCGUAAUGAUGGCCAGGCUGUCUCCACCCGAGACUCAGUGAAAUUGAACUCGCUGUGAAGAUGCAGUGUACCCGCGGCAAGACGGAAAGACCCCGUGAACCUUUACUAUAGCUUGACACUGAACAUUGAGCCUUGAUGUGUAGGAUAGGUGGGAGGCUUUGAAGUGUGGACGCCAGUCUGCAUGGAGCCGACCUUGAAAUACCACCCUUUAAUGUUUGAUGUUCUAACGUGGACCCGUUACCCGGGUUGCGGACAGUGUCUGGUGGGUAGUUUGACUGGGGCGGUCUCCUCCUAAAGAGUAACGGAGGAGCACGAAGGUUGGCUAAUCCUGGUCGGACAUCAGGAGGUUAGUGCAAUGGCAUAAGCCAGCUUGACUGCGAGCGUGACGGCGCGAGCAGGUGCGAAAGCAGGUCAUAGUGAUCCGGUGGUUCUGAAUGGAAGGGCCAUCGCUCAACGGAUAAAAGGUACUCCGGGGAUAACAGGCUGAUACCGCCCAAGAGUUCAUAUCGACGGCGGUGUUUGGCACCUCGAUGUCGGCUCAUCACAUCCUGGGGCUGAAGUAGGUCCCAAGGGUAUGGCUGUUCGCCAUUUAAAGUGGUACGCGAGCUGGGUUUAGAACGUCGUGAGACAGUUCGGUCCCUAUCUGCCGUGGGCGCUGGAGAACUGAGGGGGGCUGCUCCUAGUACGAGAGGACCGGAGUGGACGCAUCACUGGUGUUCGGGUUGUCAUGCCAAUGGCACUGCCCGGUAGCUAAAUGCGGAAGAGAUAAGUGCUGAAAGCAUCUAAGCACGAAACUUGCCCCGA
Molecule: ribosomal RNA, 2158 nt
Filed under: Salmonella enterica subsp. enterica serovar Enteritidis
Lineage: Bacteria; Pseudomonadati; Pseudomonadota; Gammaproteobacteria; Enterobacterales; Enterobacteriaceae
Description: partial 23S ribosomal RNA
Rfam family: Bacterial large subunit ribosomal RNA
Source: RNAcentral